This 709-nucleotide ribosomal RNA is filed under the name uncultured bacterium. Its description in RNAcentral is "bacterial SSU rRNA". It matches the Rfam family "Bacterial small subunit ribosomal RNA", at positions 140 to 851 of the family's 1533-position model. The record is from RNAcentral.
GGCAUAACACUGAGAAAUUGGUACUAAUUCCCCAUAACAUUCGAAGAGGCAUCUCUUUGGGUUGAAAACUCCGGUGGUUAUGGAUGGGCAUGCGUUGUAUUAGCUAGUUGGUGGGGUAACGGCUCACCAAGGCGACGAUACAUAGGGGGACUGAGAGGUUAACCCCCCACAUUGGUACUGAGACACGGACCAAACUCCUACGGGAGGCAGCAGUGAGGAAUAUUGGUCAAUGGACGCAAGUCUGAACCAGCCAUGCCGCGUGCAGGAUGACGGCUCUAUGAGUUGUAAACUGCUUUUGUACGAGGGUAAACUCACCUACGUGUAGGUGACUGAAAGUAUCGUACGAAUAAGGAUCGGCUAACUCCGUGCCAGCAGCCGCGGUAAUACGGAGGAUUCAAGCGUUAUCCGGAUUUAUUGGGUUUAAAGGGUGCGUAGGCGGUUAGAUAAGUUAGAGGUGAAAUCCCGGGGCUUAACUCCAAAAUUGCCUCUAAUACUGUUUGACUAGAGAGUAGUUGCGGUAGGCGGAAUGUAUGGUGUAGCGGUGAAAUGCUUAGAGAUCAUACAGAACACCGAUUGCGAAGGCAGCUUACCAAACUAUAUCUGACGUUGAGGCACGAAAGCGUGGGGAGCAAACAGGAUUAGAUACCCUGGUAGUCCACGCAGUAAACGAUAAUGGCUCGCUGUCGGCGAUACACAGUCGGUGGCUAAG